Molecule: long non-coding RNA, 422 nt
Filed under: Hordeum vulgare
Lineage: Eukaryota; Viridiplantae; Streptophyta; Magnoliopsida; Poales; Poaceae
Description: long non-coding RNA (HVUL_LNC016357)
Source: RNAcentral
GGGUCUCUUAGUGGAAUCACAACAUCUUGCAUUGUGCGAGAGCGUGAGGAGACUACGGUGGCCUUAGUGGCAUCUUGGGGAGCAUUGUGCCUCCACACCGCUCCAACGAAGAUUAGCAUCCGCAAAGGUGUGAACUUCGGGAUACAUCAUCGUCUCUGCGUGCCUCGGUUAUCUCUUAACCGAACCCUUUACUUAUGCACUUUACUUUUUGAUAGCCAUAUUGUUUAUUGUCAUAUAUCUUCCUAUCACUUAGUUGUUUAUCAUGCUUAGCAUAAGUUGUUGGUGCACAUAGGUGAGCCUAGUUGUUGUAUGUUUUGUGCUUGACAAAUUAAACGUUAGUUUUAUUCUGCAUUUGUUCAAGCCUAAACCGUAAUUAUUUUAAAGCGCCUAUUCGCCCCCCCCCUCUAGGCGACAUCCACGUC